AACGAACGCUGGCGGCAUGCCUAACACAUGCAAGUCGAACGAGACCUUCGGGUCUAGUGGCGCACGGGUGCGUAACGCGUGGGAACCUGCCCUUAGGUUCGGAAUAACUCCCCGAAAGGGGUGCUAAUACCGGAUAAUGUCUUCGGACCAAAGAUUUAUCGCCUUUGGAUGGGCCCGCGUUGGAUUAGCUAGUUGGUAGGGUAAAAGCCUACCAAGGCGGCGAUCCAUAGCUGGUCUGAGAGGAUGAUCAGCCACACUGGGACUGGGACACGGCCCAGACUCCUACGGAAGGCAGCAGUGGGGAAUAUUGGACGAUGGGCGAAAGCCUGAGCCAGCAAGGCCGCGUGAGUGAUGAAGGCGGUAGGGAUGUAAAGCUCUUUUACCCGGGAUGAUAAGGACAGUACCGGGAGAAUAAGCUCCGGCUAACUCCGU
This 432-nucleotide ribosomal RNA is filed under the name uncultured bacterium. RNAcentral describes it as "partial 16S ribosomal RNA". It matches the Rfam family "Bacterial small subunit ribosomal RNA", at positions 29 to 506 of the family's 1533-position model. The record is from RNAcentral.